Molecule: ribosomal RNA, 719 nt
Filed under: uncultured euryarchaeote
Lineage: Archaea; Methanobacteriati; Methanobacteriota
Description: bacterial SSU rRNA
Rfam family: Archaeal small subunit ribosomal RNA
Source: RNAcentral
AACUGGAGAUAAUUCCGGAUAACGCAUAUAUGCUGGAAUGCUUUAUGCGUAAAAUGGAUUCGUCUGCCCAAGGAUGGGUCUGCGGCCUAUCAGGUAGUAGUGGGUGUAAUGUACCUACUAGCCUACGACGGGUACGGGUUGUGAGAGCAAGAGCCCGGAGAUGGAUUCUGAGACAUGAAUCCAGGCCCUACGGGGCGCAGCAGGCGCGAAAACUUUACAAUGCGGGAAACCGUGAUAAGGGGACACCGAGUGCCAGCAUCAUAUGCUGGCUGUCCAGGUGUGUAAAAUACACCUGUUAGCAAGGGCCGGGCAAGACCGGUGCCAGCCGCCGCGGUAACACCGGCGGCCCGAGUGGUGAUCGUGAUUAUUGGGUCUAAAGGGUCCGUAGCCGGUUUGGUCAGUCCUCCGGGAAAUCUGAUAGCUUAACUAUUAGGCUUUCGGAGGAUACUGCCAGACUUGGAACCGGGAGAGGUAAGAGGUACUACAGGGGUAGGAGUGAAAUCUUGUAAUCCCUGUGGGACCACCUGUGGCGAAGGCGUCUUACCAGAACGGGUUCGACGGUGAGGGACGAAAGCUGGGGGCACGAACCGGAUUAGAUACCCGGGUAGUCCUGGCCGUAAACGAUGUGGACUUGGUGUUGGAAUGGCUUCGAGCUGCUCCAGUGCCGAAGGGAAGCUGUUAAGUCCACCGCCUGGGAAGUACGGUCGCAAGACUGAAAC